UAGCAUCAUCUUUUUUCAGCAUAUUUGUUGGCACCAACUUCCCAGCAUUAAAAGGUUCAUCACUAGGUCUUGCAGGAGCAUCAAGAUUUUGAACAUCAGCUUUUCUAGCAGCCUCCUCUCUACCAAAAGCAGGCAUCCAAAUAACAGGAAAUGGAAACUCUUUCUUUAUGUCCUCCUGUUGCUUAUUUUGCACACUUUGGUCCCCCAUGCCUGCUGCAUCAGGCAAGAAUGAUCCAAGGCGACUCAAAUCAGACAGAGGCCAACCACUACAGAGCUUCGGAGCCUGUUGGAGAGAUUUCAAAUUCUCCGUCAAAUUCAAGCCACGGCGUUCCUUCUCCUGCUUUCCAUUUCCAGUUUCAGAAGGCUCUCUCUCUUUUUCACUCCCCACAUGGUCAGGCGGAAUCCACACAAUUGGGGGCUGGUUAUUUCCUAAUUGAAAUGGAACCAAUGACCCCUUCCUUUGACUGUCCGGUUUCUCCUCCUCAAUCUUCACACAAUUCUCUCCCUUCUGGUUCUGCCCACACAAACUAUUAGGACAGCCACAGCAGUGACGAUUCCUCAUCAUGCUCUUAUCAAACUCAUAUCUGGGCUGCUCAACGUUAUAAUGCGUGGGAGGAACAUACCGGACAUAAUACGGUUCGGGGCAAGGUGGGUAGCCACCGUAGCAGUGCAUAUGCUGAUGGGGUGGAACAGGAAGAUGCGAUGGUCUAAAAUUACAACAACCAGGGAGGAAAUUACCACUAUUACAGCAGGAAUAAGAUGGCAUUGGGUACCCACAAUGCCAAUAAUUACGCCCAGAAUCAUGAGGAGGCAUACAUGAUUUAGUUGGAUCCAUCAUCGAGUAAGAAGGGAUAGUUUCCAUGCUCGGAUACUGA
This 875-nucleotide long non-coding RNA is filed under the name Cucumis sativus (cucumber). RNAcentral describes it as "long non-coding RNA (CSAT_LNC002166)". The record is from RNAcentral. Lineage: Eukaryota; Viridiplantae; Streptophyta; Magnoliopsida; Cucurbitales; Cucurbitaceae.